This 802-nucleotide ribosomal RNA is filed under the name uncultured soil archaeon. RNAcentral describes it as "bacterial SSU rRNA". It matches the Rfam family "Archaeal small subunit ribosomal RNA", at positions 77 to 865 of the family's 1478-position model. The record is from RNAcentral.
CUAAGCGCACAGCUCAGUAACACGUGGCCAACCUGCCCUCGGGACGGAGACAACCCCGGGAAACUGGGAUUAAUACCCGAUAGGCGAAGACUCCUGGAACGGGUCUUCACCCAAAAGGUGUUAGGAUCAUGCUUUUUAACAUCGCCCGAGGACGGGGCCGCGGCCGAUCAGGUAGUUGGCGAGGCAACGGCUCACCAAGCCUAUAACCGGUACGGGCCGUGGGAGCGGGAGCCCGGAGAUGGGCACUGAGACAAGGGCCCAGGCCCUACGGGGCGCAGCAGUUGCGAAAACUUGUCAAUGCACGAAAGUGUGAACGGGCUACCCCGAGUGCCGUCCGCUGAGGAUGGCUUUUCUCUGCUGUAAGAAGGCGGAGGAAUAAGGAGAGGGCAAGUCUGGUGUCAGCCGCCGCGGUAAUACCAGCUCUCCGAGUGGUAGGGAUGAUUAUUGGGCUUAAAGCGUCCGUAGCCGGCCUUCCAAGUCUUUCGUUAAAUCCAGCGAUCAAUCGUUGGACUGCGGGAGAUACUGUUAGGCUAGGGGGCGGGAGAAGCCGACGGUAUUCUUGGGGUAGGGGUAAAAUCCUAUAAUCCCAGGAAGACCACCAGUGGCGUAGGCGGUCGGCUAGCACGCGCUCGACGGUGAGGGACGAAAGCUGGGGGAGCGAACCGGAUUAGAUACCCGGGUAGUCCCAGCUGUAAACGAUGCGGGCUAGGUGUUGGAGCGGCUACGAGCCGCUUCAGUGCCGCAGGGAAGCCAUUAAGCCCGCCGCCUGGGGAGUACGGCCGCAAGGCUGACUUAAAGGCCA